Molecule: long non-coding RNA, 231 nt
Filed under: Vicia faba (fava bean)
Lineage: Eukaryota; Viridiplantae; Streptophyta; Magnoliopsida; Fabales; Fabaceae
Source: RNAcentral
AUGAGAACAAGUUAUGAAGCAGAAUGCAGUUGUGAUGUACCUGUUGAAGUGCAUAGAUACGUAGGGAUUAUUCAUUGUCUUGCUUGCUAUUGCGAUCAGAUUUCAAGGUUGAUACCUGGAGGUGUCAUCGAUGCUGCUGUUUCUUGGCAAUUGCCAAUGAGGCUGGCCCCAAGUCUGCAUCGCACAAGCAGUGAAGGAAGUUGUGUUGAAAUCGAAGUCGCUUGUAACUAA